This 500-nucleotide ribosomal RNA is filed under the name uncultured bacterium. Its description in RNAcentral is "partial 16S ribosomal RNA". It matches the Rfam family "Bacterial small subunit ribosomal RNA", at positions 29 to 523 of the family's 1533-position model. The record is from RNAcentral.
AUUGAACGCUGGCGGCAUGCCUUACACAUGCAAGUCGAACGGUAACGGGUCCUUCGGGAUGCAGACGAGUGGCGAACGGGUGAGUAAUAUAUCGGAACGUGCCCAGUAGUGGGGGAUAACUGCUCGAAAGAGCAGCUAAUACCGCCUACGACCUGAGGGGGAAAGGGGGGCGUCGCAAGACCUUGCGCUAUUGGAGCGGCAGAUAUCAGAGUAGCUAGUUGGUGGGGUGAAGGCCUACCAAGGGAACGAUCUGUAGUUGGUCUGAGAGGACGACCAGCCACAAUGGGACUGAGACACGGCCCAGACUCCUACGGGAGGCAGCAGUGGGGAAUUUUGGACAAUGGGCGCAAGCCUGAUCCAGCAAUGCCGCGUGCAGGAAGAAGGCCUUCGGGUUGUAAACUGCUUUUGUCAGGGAAGAAAUCUUCUGGGCUAAUACCCCGGGAGGAUGACGGUACCUGAAGAAUAAGCACCGGCUAACUACGUGCCAGCCGCCGCAGUAA